UGGGGAAUAUUGGACAAUGGGCGAAAGCCUGAUCCAGCCAUGCCGCGUGUGUGAAGAAGGUCUUCGGAUUGUAAAGCACUUUAAGUCGGGAGGAAGGGUUGUAGGUUAAUACCUUGCAGCCUUGACGUUACCGACAGAAUAAGCACCGGCUAACUUCGUGCCAGCAGCCGCGGUAAUACGUAGGUGGCAAGCGUUGUCCGGAUUUACUGGGCGUAAAGGGCGUGCAGGCGGUCUGUUAAGUCUAGGGUGAAAGCUCCCGGCUCAACUGGGAGAGGUCCUUGGAUACUGGCGGACUUGAGGGAUGCAGAGGAAAGUGGAAUUCCCGGUGUAGUGGUGAUAUGCGUAGAUAUCGGGAGGAACACCAGUGGUGAAGGCGGCUUUCUGGGCAUUUCCUGACGCUGAGACGCGAAAGCGUGGGGAGCGAACCGGAUUAGAUACCCGGGUAGUCCACGCCGUAAACGAUGGACACUAGGUGUAGGGGGUAUCGACCCCCUCUGUGCCGCAGCUAACG
RNAcentral lists this ribosomal RNA (511 nucleotides) under uncultured bacterium. RNAcentral describes it as "bacterial SSU rRNA". It matches the Rfam family "Bacterial small subunit ribosomal RNA", at positions 355 to 857 of the family's 1533-position model. The record is from RNAcentral.